AUUGAACGCUAGCGGGAUGCUUUACACAUGCAAGUCGAACGGCAGCGCGGACUUCGGUCUGGCGGCGAGUGGCGAACGGGUGAGUAAUGUAUCGGAACGUGCCCAGUAGCGGGGGAUAACUACGCGAAAGCGAAGCUAAUACCGCAUACGCCCUGCGGGGGAAAGCAGGGGAUCGUAAGACCUUGCACUAUUGGAGCGGCCGAUAUCGGAUUAGCUAGUUGGUGAGGUAACGGCUCACCAAGGCGACGAUCCGUAGCUGGUUUGAGAGGACGACCAGCCACACUGGGACUGAGACACGGCCCAGACUCCUACGGGAGGCAGCAGUGGGGAAUUUUGGACAAUGGGGGCAACCCUGAUCCAGCCAUCCCGCGUGUGCGAUGAAGGCCUUCGGGUUGUAAAGCACUUUUGGCAGGAAAGAAACGUCGCGGGCUAAUACCCCGUGGAACUGACGGUACCUGCAGAAUAAGCACCGGCUAACUACGUG
Molecule: ribosomal RNA, 484 nt
Filed under: uncultured bacterium
Lineage: Bacteria
Description: partial 16S ribosomal RNA
Rfam family: Bacterial small subunit ribosomal RNA
Source: RNAcentral